Molecule: ribosomal RNA, 19 nt
Filed under: Stephania longa
Lineage: Eukaryota; Viridiplantae; Streptophyta; Magnoliopsida; Ranunculales; Menispermaceae
Also listed under: 4 other names
Description: partial 26S ribosomal RNA
Source: RNAcentral
UGCGACCCCAGGUCAGGCG